This is an RNA transcript of Homo sapiens (human), 1038 nucleotides long. RefSeq lists it as uncharacterized. The transcript is spliced from 5 exons. The record is from RefSeq and is marked validated. Lineage: Eukaryota; Metazoa; Chordata; Mammalia; Primates; Hominidae.
ACUGCCCUGGCUUCCUGCGCCUCUUCAGGUCAUCGCUUGCUCUCGUUCCCAGGCUUUGGCCUCUAGUGGACGAGAAUCACCGAGUCUGCGGGGCUGGACGCUGACUGCCCGGGCCAGCACCUAGGCGGGCGGGAGCUGUGCGGCCCAGGGUUCACGCGGGCCGGGUAGAGGCUCGAGCCGGGACCCCCGAGCGUGAACCCCGGAGCCGGCGGCGCUGGGGCCAGAGGGGCCGGGCGGGAGGUGGUGGCGGAGGCGAAGGGGCGACGGGACCUGGGCCUGGCCCGUGUGUGUCCUCGGCGGCCUGGCGCCGGCCGUCGCUGUACGGUGAGCCCCAGGGAGGCGGAUCUGGGCCCCGAGAAGGACCCCCGCCUGGAUUUGCCCCGUAGGCCCGGCCCGGGCCCCUCGGGAGCAGAACAGCUUUGGUGAGGUGGACAGGAGGUGACCUCGCGAGCAGACGCGCGCGCCAGCGACAGCAGCCCGCCCCGGCCUCUCGGGAGCCGUGGGGCAGAGGCUGCGGAGCCCCAGGAGGGUGAUUUCUGCCUUUGCAGGCCGGAGCCCUCAUGACUUCAGUGACCUGCUUCUGCCCCUCUAGGUCUAUCAGCCACAGUCUCUGCAAGUUUCCAAGAGCAGCAGAAAAUGAACACAUUGCAGGGGCCAGUGUCAUUCAAAGAUGUGGCUGUGGAUUUCACCCAGGAGGAGUGGCAGCAACUGGACCCUGAUGAGAAGAUAGCAUACGGGGAUGUGAUGUUGGAGAACUACAGCCAUCUAGUUUCUGUGGGGUAUGAUUAUCACCAAGCCAAACAUCAUCAUGGAGUGGAGGUGAAGGAAGUGGAGCAGGGAGAGGAGCCGUGGAUAAUGGAAGGUGAAUUUCCAUGUCAACAUAGUCCAGCUUUCACAGCAUUGAAAAGAUCAUUGGCUGGUGGCUCUGACUGUUUCCGGCUAUGACGAUGUACCACUCGGGACCCUUUCUCUGGAUGUUUGCCAUCUAAUAUGUAUAAAAAGAUCAGAAAUAUGAAAAAAAGGUAACAAUGACAUUAA